This 165-nucleotide ribosomal RNA is filed under the name Clitoria ternatea. RNAcentral describes it as "5.8S ribosomal RNA". It matches the Rfam family "5.8S ribosomal RNA". Rfam says of the family: 5.8S ribosomal RNA (5.8S rRNA) is a component of the large subunit of the eukaryotic ribosome. The record is from RNAcentral. Lineage: Eukaryota; Viridiplantae; Streptophyta; Magnoliopsida; Fabales; Fabaceae.
UAAUGAAUGACUCUCGGCAACGGAUAUCUCGGCUCUUGCAUCGAUGAAGRACGCAGCGAAAUGCGAUACUUGGUGUGAAUUGCAGAAUCCCGUGAACCAUCGAGUCUUGAACGCAAGUUGCGCCUGAAGCCAUUAGGUUGAGGGCACGUCUGCCUGGGUGUCACA